AGUGAACGCUGGCGGUAGGCCUAACACAUGCAAGUCGAACGGCAGCACAGUAAGAGCUUGCUCUUACGGGUGGCGAGUGGCGGACGGGUGAGGAAUACAUCGGAAUCUACUUUUUCGUGGGGGAUAACGUAGGGAAACUUACGCUAAUACCGCAUACGACCUACGGGUGAAAGCAGGGGAUCUUCGGACCUUGCGCGAUUGAAUGAGCCGAUGUCGGAUUAGCUAGUUGGCGGGGUAAAGGCCCACCAAGGCGACGAUCCGUAGCUGGUCUGAGAGGAUGAUCAGCCACACUGGAACUGAGACACGGUCCAGACUCCCACGGGAGGCAGCAGUGGGGAAUAUUGGACAAUGGGCGCAAGCCUGAUCCAGCCAUACCGCGUGGGUGAAGAGGGCCUUCGGGUUGUAAAGCCCUUUUGUUGGGAAAGAAAAGCAGCAGGUUAAUACCCCGCUGUUCUGACGGUACCCAAAGAAUAAGCACCGGCUAACUUCGUG
Molecule: ribosomal RNA, 492 nt
Filed under: uncultured bacterium
Lineage: Bacteria
Description: partial 16S ribosomal RNA
Rfam family: Bacterial small subunit ribosomal RNA
Source: RNAcentral